CCUACGGGAGGCAGCAGUGAGGAAUAUUGGUCAAUGGGCGUAAGCCUGAACCAGCCAUGCCGCGUGAAGGAUGAAGGCCCUCAGGGUUGUAAACUUCUUUUGUACGGGACGAAACCCUCGAACGUGUUCGAGGCUGACGGUACCGUACGAAUAAGCAUCGGCUAACUCCGUGCCAGCAGCCGCGGCUAAUACAGAGGAUGCGAGCGUUAUCCGGAUUCAAUGGGUUUAAAGGGUGCGUAGGCGGGACGGUAAGUCAGUGGUGAAAUCCUGCAGCUUAACUGUACAAUUGCCAUUGAUACUGAUGUUCUUGAGUGCAGUUGAGGUGAGCGGAAUGUGUAUUGUAGCGGUGAAAUGCUUACAUAUUACACAGAACACCGAUUGCGAAGGCAACUCACUAAACUGUAACUGACGCUGAGGCACGAAAGCGUGGGGAGCAAACAGGAUUAGAUACCCUGGUAGUCCACGCCCUAAACGAUGAUCACUCGCUGUUGGCGACAUACUGUCAGCGGCUAACCGAAAGCAUUAAGUGAUCCACCUGGGGAGUACGCUCGCAACACUGAAACUCAAAUGAAUUGACGG
This 579-nucleotide ribosomal RNA is filed under the name uncultured bacterium. RNAcentral describes it as "bacterial SSU rRNA". It matches the Rfam family "Bacterial small subunit ribosomal RNA", at positions 338 to 916 of the family's 1533-position model. The record is from RNAcentral.